RNAcentral lists this transfer RNA (74 nucleotides) under Leptolyngbya sp. FACHB-541. RNAcentral describes it as "tRNA-Arg". It matches the Rfam family "tRNA". From Rfam's summary of the family: Transfer RNA (tRNA) molecules are approximately 80 nucleotides in length. Their secondary structure includes four short double-helical elements and three loops (D, anti-codon, and T loops). The record is from RNAcentral. Lineage: Bacteria; Bacillati; Cyanobacteriota; Cyanophyceae; Leptolyngbyales; Leptolyngbyaceae.
GAGGAUGUAGCUCAAAUGGAUAGAGCGCCUGUCUUCGAAACAGAAAGCUGCAGGUUCAACUCCUGUCAUCCUCG